Long non-coding RNA from Rhincodon typus (whale shark), 613 nucleotides. RefSeq lists it as uncharacterized. The transcript is spliced from 3 exons. NCBI's taxonomy places the organism in Eukaryota, Metazoa, Chordata, Chondrichthyes, Orectolobiformes, Rhincodontidae. The record is from RefSeq and is a predicted model, not a curated record.
UUAAAAAAAACUACCUUUUUAAAGCCUCAAGAAAUCUGUCUGAUCAUGUCCUUUAUGAUCACAGUGCAUGAACCAGUUACACAUGAAAUAAACUGGCAAGUUAUGCUUUACUAAAAGAUCAAAUGUAGAAUGAGAAAAGUGGGAACACCUUCACACCUGACUGUAAACUAUAACAUUGGAUCAGACAAGAUGGAAACAAUUGGACUAUUUGGAAAACAAUAAGAUUCAAACAAUGACAAGGGUGAAAUUCUGCAGUGGAAGUGCCCUGACUUGUUGAAAGUUAAUCCACAUCAGAGAUUUUUUUUUUUAAGAAACUUGGUCUCUCUGAUGGAAAAAGUUCUUGUGCAACAUUGUAUCUGGAAGGCCUACAUGGAGACAAAUUUGUUAGUCAACAGUUUCAUCAAGAAAUAUUUUCGACGAAAAGGAUACUUUAAUCCACCCUUGAAAAGUUGAACAACAAAACUUUACAAAAAUGCAAGGAAAUGAAUAACCUUUCCCUGCAAUAAAAAAAUUGACUAAUAAUAUUUUCCAUGCAUGUACAUAGGGUUUAGAUGCCAAUUGCACAGCCUUAGAACCAUUAUCUGAAAAAAUAAACCAAGGACCAUCUUGUAAC